This 107-nucleotide small nucleolar RNA is filed under the name Gossypium barbadense (sea-island cotton). RNAcentral describes it as "Plant small nucleolar RNA R71". It matches the Rfam family "Plant small nucleolar RNA R71". Rfam says of the family: R71 is a member of the C/D box family of snoRNAs containing the C (UGAUGA) and D (CUGA) box motifs. Multiple nearly identical copies of this snoRNA have been identified in Arabidopsis, and it is thought to function as a 2'-O-ribose methylation guide for 18S ribosomal RNA. Lineage: Eukaryota; Viridiplantae; Streptophyta; Magnoliopsida; Malvales; Malvaceae. The record is from Rfam by way of RNAcentral. RNAcentral also lists the same sequence under 2 other names.
AUCCCAUGAUGCGGACAUUUACAAAGUAAUUCCUUGAAUCUUUCCCACGCCUCCUACAAGGUCUCGUCAUCCAAUUGUUGGAAAAUAGUUAUCUCAUUGCACAACUU